AUUGAACGCUGGCGGCAUGCCUUACACAUGCAAGUCGAACGGUAACAGGUCUUCGGAUGCUGACGAGUGGCGGACGGGUGAGUAAUACAUCGGAACGUGCCCAGACGUGGGGGAUAACGAGGCGAAAGCUUUGCUAAUACCGCAUACGAUCUAAGGAUGAAAGCAGGGGACCGCAAGGCCUUGCGCGUUUGGAGCGGCCGAUGGCAGAUUAGGUAGUUGGUGGGAUAAAAGCUUACCAAGCCGACGAUCUGUAGCUGGUCUGAGAGGACGACCAGCCACACUGGGACUGAGACACGGACCAGACUCCUACGGGAGGCAGCAGUGGGGAAUUUUGGACAAUGGGCGAAAGCCUGAUCCAGCAAUGCCGCGUGCAGGAUGAAGGCCUUCGGGUUGUAAACUGCUUUUGUACGGAACGAAAAGGCUCUGGCUAAUACCUGGGGCACAUGACGGUACCGUAAGAAUAAGCACCGGCUAACUACGUG
RNAcentral lists this ribosomal RNA (482 nucleotides) under uncultured bacterium. RNAcentral describes it as "partial 16S ribosomal RNA". It matches the Rfam family "Bacterial small subunit ribosomal RNA", at positions 30 to 507 of the family's 1533-position model. The record is from RNAcentral.